This 585-nucleotide ribosomal RNA is filed under the name uncultured Paraglomeraceae. RNAcentral describes it as "SSU rRNA". It matches the Rfam family "Eukaryotic small subunit ribosomal RNA", at positions 624 to 1213 of the family's 1831-position model. Lineage: Eukaryota; Fungi; Glomeromycota; Glomeromycetes; Paraglomerales. The record is from RNAcentral.
AAGCUCGUAGUUGAAUUUCGGGCCUGGCUGGACGGUCCGCCCUUCGGGUGAGUACUGUCUGUGGUCGGGUCCUACCUUCUGGCGAAGCGUCAUGGCCUUAACCGGCCGUGGCGGGGAACCAGGACUUUUACUGUGAAAAAAUUAGAGUGUUCAAAGCAGGCAAUCGCUUGGAUACAUUAGCAUGGAAUAAUGGAAUAGGACAAUGGUUCUAUUUGUUGGUUUCUAGGACCGUUGUAAUGAUUAAUAGGGAUAGUUGGGGGCAUUAGUAUUCAAUUGUCAGAGGUGAAAUUCUUGGAUUUAUUGAAGACUAACUACUGCGAAAGCAUUUGCCAAGGAUGUUUUCAUUAUUCAAGAACGAAAGUUAGGGGAUCGAAGACGAUCAGAUACCGUCGUAGUCUUAACCAUAAUCUAUGCCGACUAGGAAUCGGGCGAUGUUGACAAAAUGACGCGCUCGGCACCUCUUGGGAAACCAAUGUGUUUGGGUUCCGGGGGGAGUAUGGUCGCAAGGCUGAAACUUAAAGGAAUUGACGGAAGGGCACCACCAGGGGUGGAGCCUGCGGCUUAAUUUGACUCAACACGGGAAAA